UGUUGCCUCACCUUGGUAAGACUA
Molecule: ribosomal RNA, 24 nt
Filed under: Dictyostelium sp. Dm7
Lineage: Eukaryota; Evosea; Eumycetozoa; Dictyosteliales; Dictyosteliaceae
Description: partial 28S ribosomal RNA
Source: RNAcentral